CUGAAUCGUUUUACAAAUCGUAGAUUAAAUAUGUUUUGUUUUUAUGAUGUAAUCACCAAUUUCCCUAACAGGGACAUUACCAAAAAUACAUAACAGUUUCCUUUUUACACUUUUUCCUCGACAAGACUCUUAUCCCUUCACCAUUACAAUCAAAAUGCGUUGUUUAAUUCAGUACUGUAUUUAGUUUAGUAGUAAUAGUAUACGCUUUGUCCCCACACUCAUGUCAUUAAUAUACACCACUUUAUUAUUGGUCUCCAGGUCUCUAGACUAAUCUGGUUAUAUGCGCGCACACUAACUCAACUACAUACUUAAGAAUACAAGCCUAUUCAUACCAACAGUUAAUACUUGGAAAUUGACAGUUUAAUCGUUGAUUUAAUAUAGAGAAAAAGACUAAAAUAGCAUCAAACCAAAUUUUUGUUCCCAAAGUAGCACAGGCUCAAAGUCACAAAAAUAUGUUUCAUUAAAGAGGUAAAUAUACAUUUAUAUCCAAACCUUAGAGUUUAGAGUUAAGGGGUGGGGUUUUGGAAUUAGGGUUUCAAAUUUUAUAAAAAAUAAAUACUAAAAUAAAAAAUAAAAAUUUUAAAAACAGUUUCAAAAAGUAUUUUUAAAUUAUAAAAAGAAAAUUUGAAAAAAAAAAUCGAAAAGAAAAUUUCAAAAAAAAAUUAAAAAAAUUUCGAAUCUGAAAACAUAUAAUCUGAAACUAUAAAAAAAAAUUUAUUUUUUCAUCUUUUUUUAUUUUUAUUAAUUUAUUUUUAUAUAUUUUUAGGGCUUAUUUGCCAAAUAACGAAAAAAAUAUGAAAAUUAGAUUUUGGGAGAGAGAGUAGAGAGAGAUAGGAAGAGAAAGUAGGAGAGAGGGGGAAAUUUUGGUUAGUUAGUGUAUUUAAUUUUUUUUCAUGUAUAUAAGGUGCAAUUUCCCUUAUUUUUAUUUAUUUUUAUUUAUUUUUGUUUGUUUAUUUAAUUUUAAACCAAGGGUAUUAAAGAUAUUUUACCCUUUAAUGAAUGUUAUUUUUAUGACUUUCUCUUUUUAGUGUCAUUUUUGAGACAUAAACUUCAAAAAGUGCUAUUAUUGACAAUUGCUCUUUAAUAUAUUACAAAUGCAAAACCAAUGUCAAAAAGCGUAUUGCUCUUAUAUUGAUAUUUAUAUAUCAAGUAGUCGUUGCUUGAAUAAGAAGUAAUCAAAUAUCUUUUAAUAAAAAAAGAAUGCGAUUGAUAAUGUACAUGAUGCAUACGAUUAUAGAGGGAAUAAUGUUGGAAAGUACUGUAAUCUAGAAUUCUUGAUUGACUUCUGUAGCUAGUUCUUAGUAUAGACACACCAUCAUUCCUCUGCGGUAAAUAUUUUUAUGUUUAAAGUAGUAACAUAUUAUCAUCUAUCUACAAAUAUCAUCAUAACGAAACACUAUAACAUUAGAAUAUACUUGUAAAUUCCACC
Molecule: long non-coding RNA, 1429 nt
Filed under: Brassica rapa (field mustard)
Lineage: Eukaryota; Viridiplantae; Streptophyta; Magnoliopsida; Brassicales; Brassicaceae
Description: long non-coding RNA (BRAP_LNC006482)
Source: RNAcentral